This 460-nucleotide ribosomal RNA is filed under the name uncultured bacterium. RNAcentral describes it as "partial 16S ribosomal RNA". It matches the Rfam family "Bacterial small subunit ribosomal RNA", at positions 338 to 795 of the family's 1533-position model. The record is from RNAcentral.
CCUACGGGAGGCAGCAGUGAGGAAUAUUGGUCAAUGGGCUUACGCCUGAACCAGCCACGUCGCGUGAGGGAAGACUGCCCUCUGGGUUGUAAACCUCUUUUGUCAGGGAGCAAUUGGCGCUACGUGUAGCGUUAUCGAGAGUACCUGAAGAAGAAGCAUCGGCUAACGCCGUGCCAGCAGCCGCGGUAAUACGGAGGAUGCGAGCGUUAUCCGGAUUUAUUGGGUUUAAAGGGUGCGUAGGCGGAAUGCCAAGUCAGCGGUAAAAUCGCGGGGCUCAACCUCGCUCCGCCGUUGAAACUGGCGGUCUUGAGUGGGCGAGAAGUAUGCGGAAUGCGUGGUGUAGCGGUGAAAUGCAUAGAUAUCACGCAGAACUCCGAUUGCGAAGGCAGCAUACCGGCGCCCAACUGACGCUGAAGCACGAAAGCGUGGGUAUCGAACAGGAUUAGAUACCCGUGUAGUC